Molecule: ribosomal RNA, 471 nt
Filed under: Triticum aestivum (bread wheat)
Lineage: Eukaryota; Viridiplantae; Streptophyta; Magnoliopsida; Poales; Poaceae
Description: partial small subunit ribosomal RNA
Source: RNAcentral
AUGAUCAUACAAAUUUUUUAUGCCGGUUUGAACUUUGCUUCUAGAAAUCUCUUAGAUUCGGCCGCGGGAGGCACGUUUAUGGAAAUCACGUUUGGAGAUGCUACAAAACUUCUUGAUAAUAUUAUGGCUAAUUAUUCUCAAUGGCACACCGAAAGAUCUUCUAGUAAAAAAGUGCAUGCUAUAGAAGAAAUCAAUGUUUUGAGUGGAAAGAUGGAUGAACUUAUGAAAUUGUUUGCUACUAAAAAUACUCCUCUUGAUCCCAAUGAUAUGCCUUUGUCUUCUUUGAUUGAGAAUAAUAAUGAAUCUAUGGAUGUGUAUUUUGUUGGUAGGAAUAGUUUUGGAAAAAUGCUUAUAGAGGAAACUUUAAUGCUAGACCGUUCCCUAGUAAUUCCUCUAAUAAUUAUGGAAAUUCUUACAAUAAUUCUUAUGGUAAUUUUAAUAAGAUUCCCUCUGACUUUGAGAAUAGUGUGA